AGCGAACGUUUGCGGCGGGCCUAACACAUGCAAGUCGAACGCACUAGCAAUAGUGAGUGGCGCACGGGUGCGUAACACGUGGGUAAUCAACCCUUCAGCUUGGGAUAACGACUUGAAAGGGUCGCUAAUACCGGAUACGGCGAGAGAGGCUUCGGCAUUUCUCGAGAAAGCCUCGCAAGGGGCACUGAAGGACGAGCCUGCGGCCCAUCAGCUAGUUGGUGAGGUAAGAGCUCACCAAGGCGAAGACGGGUAGCUGGUCUGAGAGGAUGAUCAGCCACACUGGAACUGAGACACGGUCCAGACUCCUACGGGAGGCAGCAGUGGGGAAUAUUGCGCAAUGGGCGAAAGCCUGACGCAGCCACGCCGCGUGAGCGAUGAAGGCCUCGGGUCGUAAAGCUCUGUGGGGAGGAGACGAAGAAAGACCCGUGAAGAG
Molecule: ribosomal RNA, 433 nt
Filed under: uncultured bacterium
Lineage: Bacteria
Description: bacterial SSU rRNA
Rfam family: Bacterial small subunit ribosomal RNA
Source: RNAcentral